Molecule: long non-coding RNA, 681 nt
Organism: Pongo pygmaeus (Bornean orangutan)
Lineage: Eukaryota; Metazoa; Chordata; Mammalia; Primates; Hominidae
Exons: 5
Source: RefSeq, a predicted model, not a curated record
UCUAAACUAAACUGUAAUCCUUCCAGGCUAGUAAACCACUUGGACAAAAAUGGCCAAAUGUGAUCACUGAGUUGGAACAGAGAAAAGUCAUCAUGUGAGGAGCCUUGAGCUACACAUUCUGGCAGUCUCUUCAUACACAAGAUCAAAGAGGGCCUCUGGAAGCACCGGGUUUACCAGAGUUUGAAAUCAGAAAAAAAGAAAGUGGCCCUUUCUCCUUCAUCUUCCAUUUGACAGGUGUCAUGAGAGCCACCCUUCCCAAAGGAGCACUUGUGAGCAAAGGUGAUCAGAGGGCUUUCUGAAGAGUGAGAAGUGACUUCGGAGGGCCAAAAAGAAGAAAAGGGAGUGAGCCAGUCAUUAAGACUCCUAAUCCCGGCUUAUUUUUACUGCUUCUCAACACAGCAUUGCAAGUGGUUGAUUUGAUGGAUGUGACACGUAACCAAGUUCUGGCUAAUGAGAUGUCUGAAACUUAAAGUAGAAGAGAUGUAUCAUCUCCUUUUCCUUGCUCCAUCCUGCUACCUGAAAAAUGGAUGUGGUGACAAGCCCUGGAAAAUCACAAGGAUGAGAACAGCACUGGAGAAAUGGUGCAGAGCAUGAUGAAAUUGCCUAGGUAUCUGACGGCUGAGUAGAAUUGCUCUCCUCCGACUUUUACAUCGGAAGGAAAUAAAACUCUAUUUUGUUUGA